Molecule: small nucleolar RNA, 131 nt
Organism: Suncus etruscus (white-toothed pygmy shrew)
Lineage: Eukaryota; Metazoa; Chordata; Mammalia; Eulipotyphla; Soricidae
Product: small nucleolar RNA SNORA61
Exons: 1
Source: RefSeq, a predicted model, not a curated record
AGCCUUCUGUUCCAUUCCCAUUGUAUUUGAAGACUGAUCGUGGUGGCUAUAAAAGGAGAAAUAGUAUUACUGAAGCUCUCCUCACAAUAUUAUUGUCUGCCAUGUAGCACAUGGGCUAUUUUCAAAUAAGG